ACUUUCAAUUCUUAUUGUACUAAAGAAGCUGCAACUGUAUGUCAGCUUUUCGAAACUGCAAAGAAUUUGUGAUUCAGGUGAUCUUUAAAGACGUUUGAGGAGAUGCAUCUGCCAAAGGAGAUGACAACAAUGUUCAAGAUUCGUGAUCCGAAAAGGGAACAAGUCAUGGUCACUAGUACACAUUGCAGGAUGGAUCCAUCUGAGAUGUUUGCACGUUCAAGCUCAUCAAACCGACCUAGAUGCUUCUCAGUCUCCAAAAAAGGGACUACAUGAUUAUGCUCUUGAGGUGAUCUCAGAUGAUGUAUUUGUGAUGAUCUCAGAUGAUGUAUGUGAUAUGAUCUCAGUUUGAUAAAUCUCUGAGAGUCUAGUUAAAUGUGUCUGGAUACCAAUGUUAGUUCCGGAUUGAUUUUUGAAUUCUAGAUUUCUUCUUAUCCAAAACACAAAUCAAUAUAAAUCCGAUAAGACAUCA
This is a long non-coding RNA of Capsella rubella, 469 nucleotides long. RefSeq lists it as uncharacterized. The transcript is spliced from 2 exons. The record is from RefSeq and is a predicted model, not a curated record. NCBI's taxonomy places the organism in Eukaryota, Viridiplantae, Streptophyta, Magnoliopsida, Brassicales, Brassicaceae.